This 494-nucleotide ribosomal RNA is filed under the name Salmonella enterica subsp. enterica serovar Hindmarsh. Its description in RNAcentral is "bacterial SSU rRNA". It matches the Rfam family "Bacterial small subunit ribosomal RNA", at positions 1 to 482 of the family's 1533-position model. Lineage: Bacteria; Pseudomonadati; Pseudomonadota; Gammaproteobacteria; Enterobacterales; Enterobacteriaceae. The record is from RNAcentral.
UUAAAUUGAAGAGUUUGAUCAUGGCUCAGAUUGAACGCUGGCGGCAGGCCUAACACAUGCAAGUCGAACGGUAACAGGAAGCAGCUUGCUGCUUCGCUGACGAGUGGCGGACGGGUGAGUAAUGUCUGGGAAACUGCCUGAUGGAGGGGGAUAACUACUGGAAACGGUGGCUAAUACCGCAUAACGUCGCAAGACCAAAGAGGGGGACCUUCGGGCCUCUUGCCAUCAGAUGUGCCCAGAUGGGAUUAGCUAGUUGGUGAGGUAACGGCUCACCAAGGCGACGAUCCCUAGCUGGUCUGAGAGGAUGACCAGCCACACUGGAACUGAGACACGGUCCAGACUCCUACGGGAGGCAGCAGUGGGGAAUAUUGCACAAUGGGCGCAAGCCUGAUGCAGCCAUGCCGCGUGUAUGAAGAAGGCCUUCGGGUUGUAAAGUACUUUCAGCGGGGAGGAAGGUGUUGUGGUUAAUAACCACAGCAAUUGACGUUACCCGC